RNAcentral lists this ribosomal RNA (439 nucleotides) under uncultured bacterium. Its description in RNAcentral is "bacterial SSU rRNA". It matches the Rfam family "Bacterial small subunit ribosomal RNA", at positions 958 to 1398 of the family's 1533-position model. The record is from RNAcentral.
AACGCGAAGAACCUUACCUGGGCUCGAAAUGCAGUGGAAGUCGGAUGAAAGUCCGGUGCCCGCAAGGGCCGCUGUAUAGGUGCUGCAUGGCUGUCGUCAGCUCGUGUCGUGAGAUGUUGGGUUAAGUCCCGCAACGAGCGCAACCCUUAUCCUUAGUUGCCAUGCCGAAAGGCGGCACUCUGGACAGACUGCCUCGCUUCAACGAGGAGGAAGGUGGGGAUGACGUCAAGUCAGUAUGGCCCUUACGGCCAGGGCUGCACACGUACUACAAUGCCCGGCACAAAGGGAAGCAAGAGCGUAAGCUGGAGCAAAUCCCCCAAAACGGGCCCAGUUCAGAUUGUCGUCUGCAACUCGACGACAUGAAGCUGGAAUCGCUAGUAAUGGCGCAUCAGCUACGGCGCCGUGAAUACGUUCCCGGGCCUUGUACACACCGCUAGUC